This 1482-nucleotide ribosomal RNA is filed under the name Leuconostoc pseudomesenteroides. RNAcentral describes it as "bacterial SSU rRNA". It matches the Rfam family "Bacterial small subunit ribosomal RNA". The record is from RNAcentral. Lineage: Bacteria; Bacillati; Bacillota; Bacilli; Lactobacillales; Lactobacillaceae.
AGGAUGAACGCUGGCGGCGUGCCUAAUACAUGCAAGUCGAACGCACAGCGAAAGGUGCUUGCACCUUUCAAGUGAGUGGCGAACGGGUGAGUAACACGUGGACAACCUGCCUCAAGGCUGGGGAUAACAUUUGGAAACAGAUGCUAAUACCGAAUAAAACUUAGUGUCGCAUGACACAAAGUUAAAAGGCGCUUUGGCGUCACCUAGAGAUGGAUCCGCGGUGCAUUAGUUAGUUGGUGGGGUAAAGGCCUACCAAGACAAUGAUGCAUAGCCGAGUUGAGAGACUGAUCGGCCACAUUGGGACUGAGACACGGCCCAAACUCCUACGGGAGGCUGCAGUAGGGAAUCUUCCACAAUGGGCGAAAGCCUGAUGGAGCAACGCCGCGUGUGUGAUGAAGGCUUUCGGGUCGUAAAGCACUGUUGUAUGGGAAGAACAGCUAGAAUAGGGAAUGAUUUUAGUUUGACGGUACCAUACCAGAAAGGGACGGCUAAAUACGUGCCAGCAGCCGCGGUAAUACGUAUGUCCCGAGCGUUAUCCGGAUUUAUUGGGCGUAAAGCGAGCGCAGACGGUUGAUUAAGUCUGAUGUGAAAGCCCGGAGCUCAACUCCGGAAUGGCAUUGGAAACUGGUUAACUUGAGUGCAGUAGAGGUAAGUGGAACUCCAUGUGUAGCGGUGGAAUGCGUAGAUAUAUGGAAGAACACCAGUGGCGAAGGCGGCUUACUGGACUGUAACUGACGUUGAGGCUCGAAAGUGUGGGUAGCAAACAGGAUUAGAUACCCUGGUAGUCCACACCGUAAACGAUGAACACUAGGUGUUAGGAGGUUUCCGCCUCUUAGUGCCGAAGCUAACGCAUUAAGUGUUCCGCCUGGGGAGUACGACCGCAAGGUUGAAACUCAAAGGAAUUGACGGGGACCCGCACAAGCGGUGGAGCAUGUGGUUUAAUUCGAAGCAACGCGAAGAACCUUACCAGGUCUUGACAUCCUUUGAAGCUUUUAGAGAUAGAAGUGUUCUCUUCGGAGACAAAGUGACAGGUGGUGCAUGGUCGUCGUCAGCUCGUGUCGUGAGAUGUUGGGUUAAGUCCCGCAACGAGCGCAACCCUUAUUGUUAGUUGCCAGCAUUCAGAUGGGCACUCUAGCGAGACUGCCGGUGACAAACCGGAGGAAGGCGGGGACGACGUCAGAUCAUCAUGCCCCUUAUGACCUGGGCUACACACGUGCUACAAUGGCGUAUACAACGAGUUGCCAACCCGCGAGGGUGAGCUAAUCUCUUAAAGUACGUCUCAGUUCGGAUUGUAGUCUGCAACUCGACUACAUGAAGUCGGAAUCGCUAGUAAUCGCGGAUCAGCACGCCGCGGUGAAUACGUUCCCGGGUCUUGUACACACCGCCCGUCACACCAUGGGAGUUUGUAAUGCCCAAAGCCGGUGGCCUAACCUUUUAGGAAGGAGCCGUCUAAGGCAGGACAGAUGACUGGGGUGAAGUCGU